Molecule: long non-coding RNA, 7190 nt
Filed under: Nicotiana benthamiana
Lineage: Eukaryota; Viridiplantae; Streptophyta; Magnoliopsida; Solanales; Solanaceae
Description: long non-coding RNA (NBEN_LNC004798)
Source: RNAcentral
UCAUUAAAUGCUCGGCCUGCCCUCCUUUUAAUGUGUUGGAUAAAGGCAAUUUAAGUAUCCUCACCUUCUUGCAUGACCCCCUGCCAAAAAUAAAAUAAAAUUAUCAGAUGUCAAAAUUAAGUAAAGGAAUUUAGUUUGUCCAACUCCUGAUGCUUUAAAUUUUGCUUGUCCUUUCUCUUCUAUUUCCCUCCUACAAGUUUGCCUAUACAUAAGAGUAUAUACACUCCAUAAUAAAGCAAAGAAGAGGUGAAAGACAAGUUGAUGAAUUUGUUGAGAGAUUGUUGAAUAUAUAUAGUUAUGGAAUUUCCUGAACUUUCCUUAGCUCCAUCUGUUGGUAAAAGCUACAAUUAUGAAUCUGAAGUAGUCAACCUUCCAAUGAAGAGAAAGCAAGAUAUGAUUCAAGCAAGUGUUGAUCUUCAACUUAAAGACCCUCUUCCUUUGGAUUGGGAACAAUGUCUUGAUCUUGAAGUAUAUAUACCCCUUAUUUUCUUUCUCCUAACUUUUCACUUCAAUUCUAUCUUCUUCUAUUAGUUAUAUAGUUUACGUUACGAGGGGAAUCUAGGCGUAACCGGUAAAGUUGCUGCCAUGUGAGUAGGAGGUCACGGAUUCAAAGCCGUGAAAACAACCUCUAGUAGAAAUGCAGGGUAAAAUUGCGUACAAUUAGAUCAUUGUGGUAUGGCCCUUUCUCAAACCCUGCACAUAAUGAGAGCUUAGCGCACCGGUCAGCCCUCUAAUAAAAUUUACGUGACAAUAUAAAGCUGAUUAGAGAAAGUUACUGCACUAUUUCUUAGGUCAAUUUAACUUGAUCGUAGAAAAACUAUCUGUGCACAGAACAUAAACUCAUUAGUUAAACCCUCCCUUUUUUUUGAAUUAUUAACUAAUGAUAUAUCUUUCAACCCCUACUUCCAACCGAGAGGUUGUGAGUUCGAGUCUCUCCAAGAACAAGGAGGGAAGUUCUUGGAGGGAAGGAUGCCGGGGGUCUAUUUGGAAACAGCCUCUCUACUCAAGGCUAGGGGUAAGGUCUGCGUACAUACUACCCUUCCCAGACCCCACUAAGUAGGAUUAUACUGGGUUGUUGUUGUUGUUGAUAUAUCUUUCAUGUGUUUAACUGCAGUCAGGGAGAAUGUAUUACCUAAAUAGGAAAACAUUGAGGAAGACAUGGGAUCGGCCAAAGGACCAAAAGCUAGACCUUGAAUUAAACAUGUCAAGUUUCAGCCAACAAGAAACAAUGGAAUAUGAUGAUAAGUACUAUAAUAACUCAAAGAAGCAGAACAAAAGCAACAACAGCAGCAGCAGUAUGAUAGCUUUGCCAUGUUCAAAUUGUCAUCUCUUAGUUAUAGUGUCACAGUCUUCUCCUUCUUGUCCUAACUGCAAGUUUGUUCAUUCUCUACUUUCUAAGAAACAUCCUUCUACCGCAAAAUGUUAUGACACCUUGAGCCUCUUGAACUGAACUUGUAUGUACUACUGCACUUGGCUCUGUUUGUAAAAUAGUUGUCACUGCAAAGGAGGUUAAGUACGAUGAUAUGUCAUGUAGUGUUUUUUUUUUUUCUUCUUUUUCUUGUGUACUUGAAAUCGUAAAUAACUAGUAAUGUUUCAGGUUUAAUUGUAGUGUAUGUAACACUCUUGAAAUCUUGAACUACUUUUAGUUACUCAUCAUAUAACCAUUUAAGGUUACUUAACUUACAACCAAACUGUACGGCACGCUCUUAAUUUAUUAAUCAACAAUGCGUGCAGUCAAAGUGAAAAAUUUUAGAACUAUGCUCUCAUCCGGUCCAUUUUAAUUGAUUUUUUACCUUUUUUUUUGGGGUCUAUAACAUUUAAAAGUUUUAAAUAUCAAGAAUGAAUUAUUAUUUUUUUCUAAAAGUUACUCUUGGAGUAAAGAGCUUAGGAUUAUUUGUUAUAUUUUCAAUGAACAAAUUAAAGUUAAUAUGAUUGAUUUUCUUGCUAAUUAAUGCUAAAAGUCUGAUUCUUUAAUGGGUAAAAACAAUCAAAAAAUCAAUUAAGAUGGACCGAAUAAAGUGGCGAAUAAAUUCAACAUGUCAAGAAACAUGUCAGGUUAAAAGUGAAAUCAGAUACGAGAGACACUAAUUAAUUGUCCGGUUUUUUCUUGUGUUUAUUCAACUAAUUGCACAUCAUAAAUCCUCAAUAAAAGAAUGCUUUGGUCUUUCACAUUAAUGGUACGUAACAGAGGAUACCUAUGAACGCUCUCUCCCUCUAUCAAAUAAGUAUAUACGAUAAUUAAACAGCAAAGGUGGUUUUAACAUGGGCUAUCACUACAAGAAAAAGAAGGAAAGAAAACACUAUAUGACAUAUCAUCGUACUUAAUCUCCAUGUUAAAUUUGUGGAAGUUUUAUUUACAUAUUGCACGGGUUAGAAACCUCCACAUUAAUGGUCCAUCAUUUAUACAUUUAGGCUUAUUUACCCUCGACUUAAUAUCCUCAAAAAAACGAGAAAAAGUGUUAGGGCUUUUUCAACAAUAUAACCCUCAGCUAGAAAACCUUCUAUUUGUACUUUAUUUCCUAUAAGAGACUUGAAAUGACCUAACAAUCUAUUACCAAAAUGAAAAGGUAUUAGAAUAAGUAUUUACUUCGAAUUACUAUUAUAAGAUCGAUUGAAAUUAUGUUGAGUAAGUAAUAUUUUACCUUUCAACAAAAUACAUCCACCGUAAUAUACCGGUCCACCUUGUAUUAUUUCAUCCACUAGAUGGACAAUUAAAUGAACUAUUACCGUAAAAAGAGAUGUAGGGAACAACAUCUCUAAAUGAAAAAGUAUGAGUACAGUCCGAUCAUGUAGCAUGUUUAUGUCCGAGAGGCUCAAGCUUUUUGAACAAAGUUGUCUAAAAGAGAAUGAAAGCUCUACCAAGACUGCAACAAUAUGAUUUGGAAGCACACUUCGAGUUGCUAUGGGCAACAAUUAUUCCAUAAUGAUAUGACAAUCAUGGUUUUUUAGUCCAAAUAUCCUCUUUUUAUCUAGAUCAACACAACGAUAGAUAUUACUUGAAUAACUAUCGACACCGAGAUAUUUUUUGAAGUUUUGAGAAAGUCGACUCUUUUAUUUGUUGGAAUUGCAAACGAAGCAAGUCGACAAUCUCAUUCUCAUCUGGCCAAAGAUCACACCUUAUACUCAGAUCUUGUAGAUCUUUUCGAUAUAUAACACGAUCCUUUGAUUUGUCGUUAUCAUGUAGCAAAGUAUAUAUAAUAUUAUUAAACACAUGCUUCUCAAUGUGCAUAAUGUCUAAAUUAUAGGCGCAACAAGUUGAAUUCCCAAUAUGGAAGAUUGAAGAAUAUGCUUUUUUUUUCUCCAUUGUUGAGUUGCACUUUCCUUGGUACCUUUUUGUCUAUUUCUUUUCCUUCUUUCAUUUAAUUCUACUGGUUUUCCAAAUGUAACAUCAAUUUCUUUCACUUGAUCAAAAUAUCUGACCCAGUUAACUUUCUUGGAGGGUUUCUCUCUUCCGUAUUGCCAAAAAUGAAGCCUCAUCAUUCUAAAUUUAUGAUUUCUUGCCAAAAACUGGCGAUGACCAAUAAAGCUCCCCUUUCUACUAUGACGAAGUCAGCGAGGUUUUAUGUCAAAAUUACAAGAUGGACAUGUAAAAUUGGUAUGUGUUCCAACCAGAUAAAAUUUCAAGUCCAAAAAAGUCGCUAACUGCCCACAUAAGAGCUGCUCGCAUUCUAAACAUUUCAUUCUUUGAUGAAUCAAGAGUUUCCACACCUUCACACCACAACUCAUUCAACUCCUUAAUAAGCGGUUGUAGGUAAAAAUUAUAUUAUUCCCCACCGUAAGUGGACCUGGAAUGAUCGUUGAGAGGAUAAAAUUUGGUUACUUCAUACAUAAUCAAGGUGGAAGAUUAUAUGGAACCAAAAUUACUGGCCAAAUGCUAUAAUUAGUACUCAUCAUCCCAAAAGCAUUGAAACCAUCACUAGCUAGGCCUAAUCGAACAUUUCUAGGACCAGAAGCAAAUUCAGGAAAAGUAGUAUCAAAUCUCUUCCAUGCCUCACCAUCUCUGGGAUGCAUCGUGAUUCCAUCUUUAUUACUAUCUUUCACAUGCCAUCUCAUAUACUCUGCAAUUUUAGAGCACAUGAAUAAUCUCUGCAACCUUGGUUUCAGUGGGAAGUAACGCAAAAUCAUUGCGGGCAUCUUUUGCUUCUUUUUCUUCUGUCCUCUAGUAGACAUGUGAUUUUUGUUGAUCUUCUUAGUCUAGAUUAGCAAUAUUUACAUGUUUCCUCAUUAGCAUCUCUGUAGUACAACAUGCAAUUGUUUGGACAAGCAUCUAUCUUGAUAUAAUCAAGACAAAGCUUUUUGAGGUAUUCUUGGCCUCAUAAAAAGAAUUAGGUAUCCUUGCAAAUCCAAAUACAUCCUUUAGUAAAUCUGGCAUCAUAGUCAUUCCCUUAUCACUUAGCCCAGACAAACACUUUAUGUGAUACAACUUUAACAAAAAUUCUAGCUUCGAGUACUUGGACCCUUCAUAUAAUUCUUCACUUCCAUCUCUAAGCAACUCAAAAAAAUCUUUGUUAUUUGAAGAAGGCAGAUCAUUCAACAUUUCUUCUUCUCCAACUACUUGUGACGGGCAUGCAUCAGUGCCCUCAUGCCUUAAACCCGGGAAUGCUUCAUUUAUCAACAAUUCUAUAGGAUUUUCAGGAGGCAGUGCAUCUAGGAUAACCUCAGUCCUUGUAGAGUUCUCCAACACUUCAGAUUCCCCAUGAAGAAUCCAAGUAACAUUGUUCACUUCCAUCUCUAAGCAACUCAAAAAAUUCUUUGUUAUUUAAAGAAGGCAGAUCAUUUAAUAUUUCUUCUUCUCCAACUACUUGUGACGGGCCUGCAUAAAUGUCCCCGUGCCUUAAACUCGAAAAUGCUUCAUUUAUCAACAAUUCCAUGGGAUUUUCAGGAGGCAGUUCAUCUAGGAUAAUAUCUGUAAUUCUAGAGUUCUCCAACACUUCUGGUUUUCCAUGAAGAAUCAUAGUGACAUAAUUUUGAGGGAAUAGCUUGCAAAUCAAAUGAUCGUACACUAUCUCUCUAGUCUGCCACUUCCCAAAAUCAUAUUUAGAACACGAAAAUUUUAUAAAUCUCCUAUAGAAGUAUUCUUAAAUGCAAAUUUUAGAAAUUGAUUCAAACCAAGUAAAUACUUUGUUGUAUUUAUAGGUAUUCCAAUCCAAGAUUUAUCUAUUGGAAAGUAUUGAUAUAUAACCUUUCAGAAGUGAUCCACCAAUAAUGAUUUCUCUUAGCAAGAGUGUUUACUGUAACUUAUAAUAUUUCCAUGAGAAAGGAUGAUUUAGUAACCUAUCAAUGCAAUAACAUUAUAAAAUUUUAUAAGAAUUGCGGCGUGAACAAGGCCGGGAACUUGUUACAUGCAUGUUUAAUUAGUACAACAGGCUCAAGCGAUUGCUAGUGUGUUUAAUUUAUUCUAUUGAUCUAGCUUUUUCAAAAUCUUAAACUAUAUAUUUAAAUGUUGUAGGUACUUCAAAAAAGGCAUUGUAAAAAUUAUAGAAAACUUAUUAUGAAAUGACAUCCUGAUAAGAACUCCAAUAACAAGAAAGCUGUUGAAGCUAAAUUCAAACAGCUAUCUUAAGCCUAUGAUGUAUGUUAAUCAUUUUCCUUAAAUCUUUGCCAGUAUACAUAUAACUUAUGCUUACUUAAUCCGAAGAUAUUCAUGCAUCAAGUCAUUACCUACAUCUCAAAUCUAAGUUUGAUUAGAUAAAAGAGAUUUGUAUAUCACAGAUUUGAUUCAUGUUUCUUGUCUCUUUACUUAUGUUUGAUAACUCCUAAUACGGCAAGGGAAGUACUAUUUCAAUAAGAUUCCUUAUCUUAGACACAUCUAUUCAAACAACACAUAGCUCGCAUAUUUCCUGGAAUAUGAAGCAUAUAUAGUCAUUUGGUCAUAUAUAUAUAUAUAUACACGUUUUAAUUACAGAUCGCAACUCCAGAAAAAUAGUUUCAAACACAUAAAGUACAUUUACGACAAAACCAAUUUGAAUCUGGAAAGGAAAAAAAUAAUAUUCAAUACUAUAAAGAAAACUAAAGACCUGUUUACACUUUAGUUGUGCUCUUUGAACAGUCCUAAGACAGUACCAUGAAACUGAUUCAAACACAACAUAUAGUAGAAAGAGGAAAACCAGCCAAUGACAAUUGCAUUUUCUCUGAAGGUCCCAAGAAUUCUAAAAUACACAUGCAAAAGGAAAUAUUUUAAUUAAGACCCAAAUCACUGAAAUUAACAUACAAAAUACACAAAAAGUCUAAAUUUAGAACCUAUAAUACCUAAAGAGUUGUAGUUUAGGCUAUAGCCGUUAUGCUUUUAAUAGUACACAAUUCCUCUAACGUUGUACACUAAUAUGUUGGGCUCACAUGCAGAGUAUGGCUAAAUCAUAAAGAUGAUAAAACUAAGCCUGCAUGCUCUAAUUAUUCAAAAUAAAUAUGAGCAAUAAAGAACUCCCAAACUAUGCUUAAGCUUUUGCAAAUUCAUAGAGACAACUAGGCUUCAACAAACACAAUGUAUAUACAGUUUUGAUUGGCCUUACAGUAUAUAGACUGUAAGGAACACAAAUUUAAUUUGAUUUGAAAAUUAUUAGCUAUCAAUAAAAUAUACCGAUUCUAUUAAAUUUCUGCUACUUUCUAUUGAGAAUCGAAAAAAUAUCAAGAUGAAAGAAAGAGAAAAUCAAUAAAGGGAAAACACAGAUUAACAGAAAAAAUAAACUUAAUACCCACAUGCACGAAGAAAGAAAGACAAAAAAGCAAAAUCAAAUAAUUGAUAGACAUGAAUUUGUAUGAAAGAGCAAAACUAAAUUAACUUACAUCCAGUUGAUUGAUAAGAUGAGGAAUUGAAGAAAAGCAGAGAGCUUGAUAUGGAGAAGAAAUGGAAUCGGAGCUUGAUUAACCAAAACCAACAAUGGAAUCCAAUUAAUAAUUUUUUGGUUUAAUUUGGUGGAUGAGGUCUAUUACGACACAAAACUAGCAGAGAGUGACACAAUUUAAUUUGGUUAAAGGAUUUGGUUAGAGUGGGCGACGGUUUCUGAAAAUGAGAGAGGGGUUUGGGAAAAAAGAGAUGGAAAGGAUUGAAGAAUAGGAAAAUAUUGGGGUUAGUGGGUGCUAUUUUUUUAGAGGUUUGCGGAGGUUAUAGACACAUAAUAUAUUUUGAGGUUAAAUAAACCCCCUCAAUUUGAUAUAAAUUACGGAGGUUAUGGUAACUCCUGCAAUAAAAC